Molecule: ribosomal RNA, 439 nt
Filed under: uncultured bacterium
Lineage: Bacteria
Description: partial 16S ribosomal RNA
Rfam family: Bacterial small subunit ribosomal RNA
Source: RNAcentral
CUACGGGAUGCAGCAGUGGGGGAUAUUGCACAAUGGGCGAAAGCCUGAUGCAGCAACGCCGCGUGAAGGAAGACGGAUUUCGGUCUGUAAACUUCUAUCAGCUGGGAAGAAAAUGACGGUACCAGACUAAGAAGCCCCGGCUAACUACGUGCCAGCAGCCGCGGUAAUACGUAGGGGGCAAGCGUUAUCCGGAUUUACUGGGUGUAAAGGGUACGUAGGCGGUCGCUUAAGUCAGAUGUGAAAGCCCGAAGCUCAACUUCGGGACUGCAUUUGAAACUGGGUGACUAGAGUACAGGAGAGGAAAGCGGAAUUCCUAGUGUAGCGGUGAAAUGCGUAGAUAUUAGGAAGAACACCAGUGGCGAAGGCGGCUUUCUGGACUGUAACUGACGCUGAGGUACGAAAGCGUGGGGAGCGAACAGGAUUAGAUACCCCUGUAGUC